CUACGGGAGGCAGCAGUGAGGAAUAUUGCACAAUGGGGGGAACCCUGAUGCAGCAACGCCGCGUGGAGGAUGGCGCAUUUCGGUGUGUAAACUCCUUUUAUAUGUCAAGAAAAUGACGGUAGCAUAUGAAUAAGCACCGGCUAACUCCGUGCCAGCAGCCGCGGUAAUACGGAGGGUGCAAGCGUUACUCGGAAUCACUGGGCGUAAAGGACGCGUAGGCGGGUUGGAAAGUCAGGUGUGAAAUCCUACAGCUUAACUGUAGAACUGCACUUGAAACUUCUAAUCUAGAGUAUGGGAGGGGGAGAUGGAAUUAGUGGUGUAGGGGUAAAAUCCGUAGAUAUCACUAGGAAUACCUAAAGCGAAGGCGAUCUCCUGGAACAUUACUGACGCUAAGGCGUGAAAGCGUGGGGAGCAAACAGGAUUAUAUACCCUCGUAGUC
RNAcentral lists this ribosomal RNA (439 nucleotides) under uncultured bacterium. RNAcentral describes it as "partial 16S ribosomal RNA". It matches the Rfam family "Bacterial small subunit ribosomal RNA", at positions 339 to 795 of the family's 1533-position model. The record is from RNAcentral.